RNAcentral lists this ribosomal RNA (398 nucleotides) under uncultured bacterium. RNAcentral's name for it is "bacterial SSU rRNA". It matches the Rfam family "Bacterial small subunit ribosomal RNA", at positions 81 to 476 of the family's 1533-position model. The record is from RNAcentral.
UGCACUUUUCUUUAGCGGCGGACGGGUGAGUAAUGCUUAGGAAUCUGCCUAUUAGUGGGGGACAACAUUCCGAAAGGGAUGCUUAAUACCGCAUACGUCCUACGGGAGAAAGCAGGGGAUCUUCGGACCUUGCGCUUAAUAGAUGAGCCUAAGUCGGAUUAGCUAGUUGGUGGGGUAAAGGCCUACCAAGCCGACGAUCUGUAGCUGGUCUGACAGCACGACCAGCCCCUGGGACUGAGACACGGCCCAGACUCCUACGGGAGGCAGCAGUGGGGAAUUUUGGACAAUGGGCGCAAGCCUGAUCCAGCCAUGCCGCGUGCAGGAUGAAGGCCUUCGGGUUGUAAACUGCUUUUGUACGGAACGAAAAGACUCUGGUUAAUACCUGGGGUCCAGACGGU